AUGACUCCUAAAAUACAGAUAGUAGAUGGUAUCUGCUACGGAUCUCAAAUAGAAUGUCAAUUUGUUGUUGUUUUUUUUUUUCAAGUGGAAAUUAAUCUCACUAAUGACUACCGUCUCAGUGGAGGGGUUUCAGAAACAGUGUUCAAAGCAAGCAAGAUAGCUUUUCACUGGGGAAAAUGCAAUAUGUCAUCUGAUGGAUCAGAACAUAGUUUAGAAGGGCAAAAAUUUCCACUAGAGAUGCAGAUCUACUGCUUUGAUGCAGACCGAUUUUCAAGUUUUGAAGAAGCAAUUAAAGGAAAAGGGAAGUUAAGAGCUUUAUCCAUUUUAUUUGAGGUAAUCAUAUGUAUAUAUAUAUAUAUAUAUGUGUGGAAACAGGCUGCGCUGGAUCCAUUCACAUUGCUAAACCUUCUGCCAAACUCAACGGACAAGUAUUACACUUACAAUGGCUCCCUGACAUCGCCUCCCUGCACAGACACCGUUGACUGGAUUAUUUUUAAAGAUACAGUUAGCAUUUCUGAAAGCCAGUUGGCUGUUUUCUGUGAAGUUCUUACAAUGCAACAGUCUGGUUAUGUCAUGUUGAUGGACUACUUACAAAAUAAUUUUCGAGAACAACAGUACAAGUUCUCCAGGGUGACAGUUGUGUCAAUAACUGUACUUUUUUUUUCCUCUGAAGUUUGUAGUUCAGAACCAGAAAAUGUUCAAGCUGACCCAGAGAAUUAUACUAGCCUUCUUGUUACAUGGGAGAGACCUCGAGUAGUUUAUGAUACCAUGAUCGAGAAGUUUGCCGUUCUGUACCAGCAGUUGGAGGGAGAAGACCAAACCAAGCAUGAGUUUUUGACAGAUGGCUAUCAAGAUUUGGUAACUAUAAGAUCAAUUGUUUCAUAUAAAGAUGGCUUAUCUAUCAAUAGGUGUAUGUCAUGCUUCUCCUAUAGAGAAUCACAGGAAAAGGUAAUGAAUGACUCAGACACCCAGCAGAACAGUUCUGUGGAUCAGAAUAACCCAAUCUCAUAUGCACUAUCUGAGAAUUCUGAAGAAGGAAAUAAAAUCACAGGUGUUAUAUCAGACAAUCAGACUGAUAUGGACAGAAGUCCUGAUAAAUCACCACCAACAAAUGUGCCAGCCCAGAAGCACAAUGAUGGAAAACAGGAAAAUGAUGUUCAGACUAACAAUGCCCUGCUUCCUUUCAGCCCAGAAUCUAAAGCUUGGGCAGUUCUUACAAGUGAUGAAGAGAGUGGAUCAGGGCAAGGUGCCUCAGAUAGCCUUAAUGAUAACGAGACUUCCACAGAUUUCAGUUUUCCUGAUAUUAAUGAAAAAGAUGGUGAUGGGGUACUGGAAACAGGUGACUCAGAAAUAACUCCUGGAUCCCCACAGUCCUCAACACCGACUAUUACUAGCGGGCAUUCAGAAGUGUUCAACAUUUCAGAGCUUAAAUAUCAACUUUCUCAAUUUUCUCUGACUACAGAGGCCAGUAAUAGUAGCCAUGAGUCUCGUAUUGGUCUAGCUGAGGGGCUGGAAUCCGAGAAGAAGGCGGUUAUACCCCUUGUGAUCGUGUCGGCCCUGACUUUUAUCUGUCUAGUGGUUCUUGUGGGUAUUCUCAUCUACUGGAGGAAAUGUUUCCAGACCGCACAUUUUUAUUUAGAGGACAGUACGUCCCCUCGAGUAAUAUCCACACCUCCAACACCUAUCUUUCCAAUUUCAGAUGAUGUUGGAUCAAUUCCAAUAAAGCACUUUCCAAAGCAUGUUGCAGACUUACAUGCAAGUAGUGGGUUUACUGAAGAAUUUGAGGAGGUACAGAGCUGUACUGUUGAUUUAGGUAUCACAGCAGACAGCUCCAAUCACCCCGACAAUAAGCACAAGAACCGAUACAUAAAUAUUGUUGCCUAUGAUCAUAGUAGAGUUAAACUCGCACAACUUGCUGAGAAGGAUGGCAAACUGACUGAUUAUAUCAAUGCCAAUUAUGUUGAUGGCUACAACAGACCAAAAGCUUACAUUGCUGCCCAAGGCCCACUGAAAUCCACCGCCGAAGACUUCUGGAGAAUGAUAUGGGAGCAUAAUGUGGAAGUUAUUGUCAUGAUAACGAACCUUGUGGAGAAAGGAAGGAGAAAGUGUGACCAGUACUGGCCUGUGGAUGGCAGUGAAGAGUAUGGGAACUUUCUGGUCACUCAAAAGAGUAUUCAAGUGCUUGCUUAUUAUACUGUGAGGAAUUUUACUCUAAGAAACACAAAGAUCAAAAAGGGUUCCCAAAAAGGAAGACCCAGUGGGCGCGUGGUUACCCAGUACCACUACACUCAGUGGCCUGACAUGGGGGUGCCCGAGUACUCCCUGCCAGUGCUAACCUUUGUGAGAAAGGCCUCGCAUGCCAAGCGCCACGCAGUAGGGCCUGUUGUUGUCCACUGCAGUGCUGGAGUUGGAAGAACGGGCACGUACAUCGUGCUAGACAGUAUGCUGCAGCAAAUUCAACAUGAAGGAACCGUCAACGUAUUUGGCUUUUUAAAACACAUUCGUUCACAAAGAAAUUACUUGGUGCAAACUGAGGAACAGUAUGUCUUCAUUCAUGAUGCACUGGUCGAGGCCAUACUCAGUAAAGAAACUGAGGUCCCGGACAGCCACAUCCAUGCCUAUGUUAACGGGCUCCUCAUUCCUGGACCAACGGGCAAAACAAAGCUAGAGAAGCAAUUCAAGGAGGUGGGAAGGAAGUAUAGUGCUAAGAGCUUACUUGUUUCUGAUGAAUGUUCUGUGUUCCCAGUGGAAAGAUCCAGGGUUGGCAUUUCAUCCCUGAGUGGAGAAGGUGCAGACUACAUCAAUGCCUCCUACAUCAUGGGUUAUUAUCAGAGCAAUGAAUUCAUCAUCACCCAGCAUCCCCUUCUCCACACCAUCAAGGAUUUCUGGAGGAUGAUAUGGGACCAUAAUGCCCAGCUGGUUGUUAUGCUUCCAGAUGGUCAAAACAUGGCAGAAGAUGAAUUUGUUUACUGGCCAAAUAAAGAUGAGCCUAUAAAUUGUGAGAGUUUUAAGGUCACUCUUAUGGCCGAGGAACACAAAUGUCUGUCUAAUGAGGAGAAACUUAUAAUGCAAGAUUUUAUCCUAGAAGCUACACAGGAUGACUAUGUACUUGAAGUGCGGCACUUUCAGUGCCCCAAAUGGCCAAAUCCAGACAGCCCCAUUAGUAAAACUUUUGAACUUAUAAGUAUUAUCAAAGAAGAAGCCGCCACCAGGGAUGGGCCCAUGAUUGUUCAUGAUGAGCACGGAGGAGUGACAGCUGGAACCUUCUGUGCUCUGACGACCCUGAUGCACCAACUCGAAAAAGAAAAUUCCGUGGAUGUGUACCAGGUAGCCAAGAUGAUCAAUUUGAUGAGGCCGGGAGUCUUUGCCGACAUUGAGCAGUAUCAGUUUCUCUACAAAGCAGUCCUCAGCCUUGUGAGCACAAGGCAGGAAGAGAACCCGUCCACCUCUCUGGACAGUAACGGCGCGGCAUUGGCUGAUGGAAAUAUAGCCGAGAGCUUAGAGUCUUUAGUUUGACGUGGAAAGGGGUGAGAAGAGCCCACAUGUACUGCUUCCCUCUUUCUAAAAUUAGACUGGAAAAUCAGUUCCGUUCUGUUAUCUGUUUACUUCACAUCACCUGACAGUUACUACCAUGACAUAGGAUUCUGCUGCCAAAUUUACAUCAUUAACAAUGUGUGCCUUUUUUGCAAAACUUCUUGUAAUUCACUUAUUGUGUUUAAACUAAAAUGAUUGAAAUUUACAGUAUUUCUAAGAAUGGAAUUGUGGUAUCUUUUUUUCAUAUUGAUUUUAACAGAAAAUUUCAAUUUACAGAUACUAGGAAUUCCCAACUAGAAUUCCCAAACAGAAAACAUGUUUGUUUUUAGUGUCAAAUUUUUAGCUGUAUUUGUAGCAAUCAUCAAGUUUGCUAGAAAUAUAACUUUUAAUAUAGUAUACUGUAAAUAAAACACCCUGUUCCCUACGAUAUUCA
Molecule: long non-coding RNA, 3967 nt
Filed under: Cervus hanglu yarkandensis (Yarkand deer)
Lineage: Eukaryota; Metazoa; Chordata; Mammalia; Artiodactyla; Cervidae
Description: lncRNA (ENSCHYG00000024572.1)
Source: RNAcentral